CAAUCCUCUACUUGGCUCAGGGAGUGUUUGAUGAGUGUGACACCGAGGUGGAUGUGCUCCACUGGUCCAGACACAAUGUUUUUCUGCUCUACGACAUGGGAAUCUUCACAGCACUGCUGGAGCUGCUUAGCAUGGAGAUAGACAAUAACCAGGCGUGCAGCAGUGCAGUGAGGAAGCCUGCCAUCUCUCUUGCAGACAGCACGGAGCUCAGAGUCUUACUGAGCAUCAUGUACCUUAUGGUGGAGACUGUUAGAGUUCAAACGGAGGAUGACAGACCAGAGUGGAGGGCAGCAAGAGAAGCCUUCAAGAAUGAG
Long non-coding RNA from Notothenia coriiceps (black rockcod), 314 nucleotides. RefSeq lists it as uncharacterized. The transcript has 4 exons. NCBI's taxonomy places the organism in Eukaryota, Metazoa, Chordata, Actinopteri, Perciformes, Nototheniidae. The record is from RefSeq and is a predicted model, not a curated record.